Molecule: ribosomal RNA, 248 nt
Filed under: uncultured bacterium
Lineage: Bacteria
Description: partial 16S ribosomal RNA
Rfam family: Bacterial small subunit ribosomal RNA
Source: RNAcentral
AGUAACACGUGAGCAACCUACCCUUCAGAGGGGGACAACAGUUGGAAACGACUGCUAAUACCGCAUAAGACCACGGUGUGGCAUCACACAGAGGUCAAAGGAGAAAUCCGCUGAAGGAUGGGCUCGCGUCCAAUUAGCUAGAUGGUGAGGUAACGGCCCACCAUGGCGACGAUUGGUAGCCGGACUGAGAGGUUGAUCGGCCACAUUGGGACUGAGACACGGCCCAGACUCCUACGGGAGGCAGCAUG